CCUACGGGGGCAGCAGUGGGGAAUAUUGCACAAUGGGGGAAACCCUGAUGCAGCGACGCCGCGUGAGUGAAGAAGUAUCUCGGUAUGUAAAGCUCUAUCAGCAGGGAAGAAAAUGACGGUACCUGACUAAGAAGCCCCGGCUAACGACGUGCCAGCAGCCGCGGUAAUACGUAGGGGGCAAGCGUUAUCCGGAUUUACUGGGUGUAAAGGGAGCGUAGACGGCGCUGCAAGUCCGGAGUGAAAGCCAAUGGCUUAACCAUGGUACUGCUCUGGAAACUGUGGAGCUUGAGUGCAGGAGGGGCAGGCGGAAUGCCUAGUGUAGCGGUGAAAUGCGUAGAUAGUAGGAGGAACACCGGCGGCGAAGGCGGCCUGCUGGACCGUAACUGACGUUGAGGCUCGAAAGCGUGGGGAGCAAACAGGAUUAGAUACCCUGGUAGUC
Molecule: ribosomal RNA, 439 nt
Filed under: uncultured bacterium
Lineage: Bacteria
Description: partial 16S ribosomal RNA
Rfam family: Bacterial small subunit ribosomal RNA
Source: RNAcentral